UUAGAGUUUGAUCCUGGCUCAGGAUGAACGCUAGCGGCAGGCUUAACACAUGCAAGUCGAGGGGCAGCGGGUGUAGCAAUACAUGCCGGCGACCGGCGCAAGGGUGCGUAACGCGUGAGCAAUCUGCCCGUAUCAGGGGGAUAAGCGAUGGAAACGUCGUCUAAUACCGCAUAACACCAAUGAUGGCAUCAUCGAUGGUUGAAAGCUUCGGUGGAUACGGAUGAGCUCGCGAGACAUUAGUUAGUUGGCGGGGUAACGGCCCACCAAGACCGCGAUGUCUAGGGGAACUGAGAGGUUGGUCCCCCACACUGGAACUGAGACACGGUCCAGACUCCUACGGGAGGCAGCAGUGAGGAAUAUUGGACAAUGGCCGGAAGGCUGAUCCAGCCAUGCCGCGUGAAGGAAUAAGGUCCUAUGGAUUGUAAACUUCUUUUGUACGAGAGCAAUAAGUGUCACGAGUGACACGAUGAGAGUAUCGUACGAAUAAGCAUCGGCUAACUCCGUGCCAGCAGCCGCGGUAAUACGGAGGAUGCGAGCGUUAUCCGGAUUUAUUGGGUUUAAAGGGUGCGUAGGCGGGAUUUUAAGUCAGCGGUGAAACGCAAGGGCUCAACCCUUGACCUGCCGUUGAAACUGGAGUUCUUGAAUGCGGAUGCUGUGGGAGGAAUGUGUGGUGUAGCGGUGAAAUGCAUAGAUAUCACACAGAACACCGAUUGCGAAGGCAUCGUCACAAAUCCCGUGAAGGACCGGUGAGGCCCGCAAAGAGUGGGGAUCAAACAGGAUUAGAUACCGCGGGUAGGUCCACCCUGUAAACGAAGAUAACUCGCUGUGGGCGAUACACAGUCGGGUGAGCCAAGCGAAAAGCGAUAAGUUUAUCCACCUGGGGAGUACGACCGCAAGGUUGAAACUCAAAGGAAUUGACGGGGGCCCGCACAAGCGGAGGAAACAUGUGGUUUAAUUCGAUGAUACGCGAGGAACCUUACCCGGGCUCGAACGGCAAGUGAACGACACAGAGAUGUGAAGGUCCUUCGGGACACUUGUCGAGGUGCUGCAUGGUUGUCGUCAGCUCGUGCCGUGAGGUGUCGGCUUAAGUGCCAUAACGAGCGCAACCCUUGCCAUUAGUUACCAGCAUGUAAUGAUGGGGACUCUAGUGGGACUGCCACCGUAAGGUGUGAGGAGGGGGGGGAUGACGUCAAAUCAGCACGGCCCUUACGUCCGGGGCGACACACGUGUUACAAUGGUGGGUACAGAGGGCAGCUACCUGGUGACAGGAUGCAAAUCUCGAAAACCCAUCUCAGUUCGGAUCGGAGUCUGCAACUCGACUCCGUGAAGUUGGAUUCGCUAGUAAUCGCGCAUCAGCCAUGGCGCGGUGAAUACGUUCCCGGGCC
Molecule: ribosomal RNA, 1385 nt
Filed under: uncultured bacterium
Lineage: Bacteria
Description: bacterial SSU rRNA
Rfam family: Bacterial small subunit ribosomal RNA
Source: RNAcentral